ACGAACGCUGGCGGCGUGCUUCACACAUGCCAGUCGAACGGAAAGGCCCUGCCUUUGUGGGGUGCUCGAGUGGCGAACGGGUGAGUAACACGUGAGUAACCUGCCCUUGACUUUGGGAUAACUUCAGGAAACUGGGGCUAAUACCGGAUAGGAGCUCCUGCUGCAUGGUGGGGGUUGGAAAGUUUCGGCGGUUGGGGAUGGACUCGCGGCUUAUCAGCUUGUUGGUGGGGUAGUGGCUUACCAAGGCUUUGACGGGUAGCCGGCCUGAGAGGGUGACCGGCCACAUUGGGACUGAGAUACGGCCCAGACUCCUACGGGAGGCAGCAGUGGGGAAUAUUGCACAAUGGGCGGAAGCCUGAUGCAGCAACGCCGCGUGCGGGAUGACGGCCUUCGGGUUGUAAACCGCUUUCGCCUGUGACGAAGCGUGAGUGACGGUAAUGGGUAAAGAAGCACCGGCUAACUACGUG
Molecule: ribosomal RNA, 467 nt
Filed under: uncultured bacterium
Lineage: Bacteria
Description: partial 16S ribosomal RNA
Rfam family: Bacterial small subunit ribosomal RNA
Source: RNAcentral